UAGGGAAUCUUCGGCAAUGGACGAAAAGUCUGACCGAGCAACGCCGCGUGAGUGAAGAAGGUUUUCGAAUCGUAAAACUCUGUUGGUAGAGAAGAACGUUGGUGAGAGUGGAAAGCUCAUCAAGUGACGGUAACUACCCAGAAAGGGCGGCUAACUACGUGCCAC
RNAcentral lists this ribosomal RNA (165 nucleotides) under uncultured bacterium. RNAcentral's name for it is "partial 16S rRNA". It matches the Rfam family "Bacterial small subunit ribosomal RNA", at positions 355 to 511 of the family's 1533-position model. The record is from RNAcentral.